GGGAUGACACAGUAGGAUAAGCUAAGCACACUGUUGGUUAUGUGUGCCCAAGCAUUGAGGCAGUCAAAGUAGGCAAAUCCGCUUUGAUAAUGCUGGGAUGUGAUGGGGAGCGAAAUUUAGUAGCGAAGUAGCUGAUUUCACACUGUCAAGAAAAGUCUCUAUCGAGGUUAAAGGUACCCGUACCGCAAACCGACACAGGUGGGUGAGGAGAGUAUCCUAAGGCCAGCGAGAGAACUGUUGUUAAGGAACUCGGCAAAAUGACCCCGUAACUUAGGGAUAAGGGGUGCCACCAUCAGGUGGCCGCAGAGAAUAGGCCCAAGCGACUGUUUACCAAAAACAUAGG
This 343-nucleotide ribosomal RNA is filed under the name Clostridioides difficile. RNAcentral's name for it is "partial 23S ribosomal RNA". It matches the Rfam family "Bacterial large subunit ribosomal RNA", at positions 1466 to 1819 of the family's 2925-position model. The record is from RNAcentral. Lineage: Bacteria; Bacillati; Bacillota; Clostridia; Peptostreptococcales; Peptostreptococcaceae.